AGUUAAUGAACUUGUUAAGUAUAUAUUUUGAAAAUAUAAUAAAGAGAUUCCUCUAUUAACUU
Molecule: transfer RNA, 62 nt
Filed under: Pediacus ater
Lineage: Eukaryota; Metazoa; Arthropoda; Insecta; Coleoptera; Cucujidae
Description: tRNA-Ser
Source: RNAcentral